AAUCAACGCUGGCGGCGUGCCUCAGACAUGCAAGUCGAACGCGAAAGUCCCCUUCGGGGGACAAGUAGAGUGGCGCACGGGUGAGUAACACGUAGGUAAUCUACCUUCGGAUGGGGAAUAACAACCGGAAACGGUUGCUAAUACCGCAUAAUGCAGCGGCACCUAAUGGUGACAGUUGUUAAAGCGGGGGAUCGAAAGACCUCGCGUCUGAAGAGGAGCCUGCGGCGGAUUAGCUAGNGGUAAGGUAAUGGCUUACCAAGGCGACGAUCCGUAGCCGGCCUG
This 282-nucleotide ribosomal RNA is filed under the name uncultured bacterium. Its description in RNAcentral is "partial 16S ribosomal RNA". It matches the Rfam family "Bacterial small subunit ribosomal RNA", at positions 32 to 294 of the family's 1533-position model. The record is from RNAcentral.